CAGUUACCACGUGAAGGUCUCGUUCUCCACGAUGAAAGAUUAGUGUUUAAGGUACUGUGAUCGAUGAAGCACAUGCUAGUAUUGCGGAAGAUUAGUUAAGAGUUCCUCGCCCAGGUCUUCGUGGCCCAAAGGAUGUCGGCCAGCCACCGUGUCAUCCUCUGCUGUGGCGGUCUGCGGAUGCGGUACGGAGGGGGCUCUUCAGUCGCCAUUACGAUGCUGAGUGCACCCUGUACCAGUCCUCCCACCUUGGCAGUUCCGGGAGUCGAAUUCAGGUCCUCCGAAUGGCAGCCAUCUACGCUGACUUCUGAGCUAUGGAGGUGGACAUUGAGGAAGAUUGGGAGCUGACUCUGUUCCACCAAUGACCCAGCAACUACUGACACUUAGAUAUCUGGCCUCUGGUGAAUUCCUUCAGUCCAUUUAAGACUUCAUUGACAU
Molecule: long non-coding RNA, 435 nt
Organism: Schistocerca serialis cubense
Lineage: Eukaryota; Metazoa; Arthropoda; Insecta; Orthoptera; Acrididae
Exons: 3
Source: RefSeq, a predicted model, not a curated record